RNAcentral lists this ribosomal RNA (386 nucleotides) under uncultured Desulfobulbus sp. RNAcentral describes it as "bacterial SSU rRNA". It matches the Rfam family "Bacterial small subunit ribosomal RNA", at positions 1004 to 1382 of the family's 1533-position model. Lineage: Bacteria; Pseudomonadati; Thermodesulfobacteriota; Desulfobulbia; Desulfobulbales; Desulfobulbaceae. The record is from RNAcentral.
AAACUAGGGAGUGCUUUCCAUCUGGAAGAAUCUGGAGACAGGUGCUGCAUGGCUGUCGUCAGCUCGUGUCGUGAGAUGUUGGGUUAAGUCCCGCAACGAGCGCAACCCUUGCCUUUAGUUGCCAGCAGUUCGGCUGGGCACUCUAAAGGGACUGCCGGUGUUAAACCGGAGGAAGGUGGGGAUGACGUCAAGUCCUCAUGGCCUUUAUGACCAGGGCUACACACGUACUACAAUGGCCGAUACAAAGGGCAGCGACACUGCGAGGUGAAGCCAAUCCCGUAAAAUCGGUCUCAGUCCGGAUUGGAGUCUGCAACUCGACUCCAUGAAGUUGGAUUCGCUAGUAAUCGCGCAUCAGCCAUGGCGCGGUGAAUACGUUCCCGGGCCUU